AACGAACGCUGGCGGCGUGCCUAACACAUGCAAGUCGUGCGAGAAAGUUCCUUCGGGAGCGAGUAAAGCGGCGCACGGGUGAGUAACACGUAGGUAACCUGCCCCCCAGUCUGGAACAACUAGAGGAACUACUAGCUAAUGCCGGAUAAGACCACGGCCCCCGUCCGGGGGCGUGCGGCCAAAGAUGGCCUCUACUUGUACGCUAUCGCUGAGGGAUGGGCCUGCGGGCCAUUAGCUUGUUGGUGAGGUAACGGCUCACCAAGGCUGUGAUGGCUAGCUGGUCUGAGAGGAUGACCAGCCACACUGGGACUGAGACACGGCCCAGACUCCUACGGGAGGCAGCAGUGGGGAAUAUUGCGCAAUGGGCGAAAGCCUGACGCAGCGACGCCGCGUGGGUGAUGAAGGGCC
Molecule: ribosomal RNA, 408 nt
Filed under: uncultured bacterium
Lineage: Bacteria
Description: bacterial SSU rRNA
Rfam family: Bacterial small subunit ribosomal RNA
Source: RNAcentral